This 493-nucleotide ribosomal RNA is filed under the name uncultured soil bacterium. Its description in RNAcentral is "bacterial SSU rRNA". It matches the Rfam family "Bacterial small subunit ribosomal RNA", at positions 26 to 511 of the family's 1533-position model. The record is from RNAcentral.
AGAUUGAACGCUGGCGGCAGGCCUAACACAUGCAAGUCGAGCGGCAGCACGGGUACUUGUACCUGGUGGCGAGCGGCGGACGGGUGAGUAAUGCCUAGGAAUCUGCCUGGUAGUGUGGGAUAACGCUCGGAAACGGACGCUAAUACCGCAUACGUCCUACGGGAGAAAGCAGGGGACCUUCGGGCCUUGCGCUAUCAGAUGAGCCUAGGUCGGAUUAGCUAGUUGGUGAGGUAAUGGCUCACCAAGGCGACGAUCCGUAACUGGUCUGAGAGGAUGAUCAGUCACACUGGAACUGAGACACGGUCCAGACUCCUACGGGAGGCAGCAGUGGGGAAUAUUGGACAAUGGGCGAAAGCCUGAUCCAGCCAUGCCGCGUGUGUGAAGAAGGUCUUCGGAUUGUAAAGCACUUUAAGUUGGAGGAAGGCUAAUUUACCUAAUACGUAAGUUGUUUUGAACGUUACCGACGAAUAAGCACCGGCUAACUCUGUGCCAG